GGCCGGGUGGCGAAGUGGCUAACGCAGAGGUCUGCAAAACCUCCACUCGUGGGUUCAAAUCCCACCCCGGCCUCCA
This 76-nucleotide transfer RNA is filed under the name Magnetococcales bacterium. RNAcentral's name for it is "tRNA-Cys". It matches the Rfam family "tRNA". From Rfam's summary of the family: Transfer RNA (tRNA) molecules are approximately 80 nucleotides in length. Their secondary structure includes four short double-helical elements and three loops (D, anti-codon, and T loops). Further hydrogen bonds mediate the characteristic L-shaped molecular structure. tRNAs have two regions of fundamental functional importance: the anti-codon, which is responsible for specific mRNA codon recognition, and the 3' end, to which the tRNAs corresponding amino acid is attached (by aminoacyl-tRNA synthetases). tRNAs cope with the degeneracy of the genetic code in two manners: having more than one tRNA (with a specific anti-codon) for a particular amino acid; and 'wobble' base-pairing, i.e. permitting non-standard base-pairing at the 3rd anti-codon position. The record is from RNAcentral. Lineage: Bacteria; Pseudomonadati; Pseudomonadota; Magnetococcia; Magnetococcales.